RNAcentral lists this ribosomal RNA (414 nucleotides) under uncultured bacterium. RNAcentral describes it as "bacterial SSU rRNA". It matches the Rfam family "Bacterial small subunit ribosomal RNA", at positions 355 to 767 of the family's 1533-position model. The record is from RNAcentral.
UAAGGAAUAUUGGUCAAUGGACGCAAGUCUGAACCAGCCAUGCCGCGUGAAGGAUGAAGGUCCUCUGGAUUGUAAACUUCUUUUAUCUGGGACGAAAACGGGAUUUUUAUCUCAAUUGACGGUACCAGAGGAAUAAGCACCGGCUAACUCCGUGCCAGCAGCCGCGGUAAUACGGAGGGUGCGAGCGUUAUCCGGAUUUACUGGGUUUAAAGGGUGCGUAGGUGGGCUUAUAAGUCAGUGGUGAAAUCUCCGAGCUUAACUUGGAAACUGCCGUUGNUACUGUAGGUCUUGAAUUAUCUGGAGGUAAGCGGAAUAUGUCAUGUAGCGGUGAAAUGCUUAGAUAUGACAUAGAACACCAAUUGCGAAGGCAGCUUACUACAUAUAAAUUGACGCUGAGGCACGAAAGCGUGGGGA